UCAACCUCUCAAGCUUGGCUUGUCGUUGGACCUUGCAGCUGCCGGUAAUCGGCGGGGGGCCGGUCUUCAACCCAGUGGCGGAGUUCGGUAUGGACCCCGGAUACAACGAGCUCUCUAGCAUGUAUCAAGGUGGUCCGCCGACCUAGCCUCGUCGAAAAGUCUUAACCAU
Molecule: unclassified non-coding RNA, 169 nt
Filed under: uncultured Ascomycota
Lineage: Eukaryota; Fungi; Ascomycota
Description: sequence contains ITS2
Source: RNAcentral